GACGAACGCUGGCGGCGUGCUUAACACAUGCAAGUCGAACGGAAAGGCCCUGCUUUUGUGGGGUGCUCGAGUGGCGAACGGGUGAGUAACACGUGAGUAACCUGCCCUUGACUUUGGGAUAACUUCAGGAAACUGGGGCUAAUACCGGAUAGGAGCUCCUGCUGCAUGGUGGGGGUUGGAAAGUUUCGGCGGUUGGGGAUGGACUCGCGGCUUAUCAGCUUGUUGGUGGGGUAGUGGCUUACCAAGGCUUUGACGGGUAGCCGGCCUGAGAGGGUGACCGGCCACAUUGGGACUGAGAUACGGCCCAGAGUCCUACGGGAGGCAGCAGUGGGGAAUAUUGCACGAUGGGCGGAAGCCUGAUGCAGCAACGCCGCGUGCGGGAUGACGGCCUUCGGGUUGUAAACCGCUGUCGCCUGUGACGAAGCGUGAGUGACGGUAAUGGGUAAAGAAGCACCGGCUAACUACGUG
This 468-nucleotide ribosomal RNA is filed under the name uncultured bacterium. Its description in RNAcentral is "partial 16S ribosomal RNA". It matches the Rfam family "Bacterial small subunit ribosomal RNA", at positions 28 to 507 of the family's 1533-position model. The record is from RNAcentral.